RNAcentral lists this ribosomal RNA (322 nucleotides) under uncultured bacterium. RNAcentral's name for it is "bacterial SSU rRNA". It matches the Rfam family "Bacterial small subunit ribosomal RNA", at positions 794 to 1111 of the family's 1533-position model. The record is from RNAcentral.
UCCACGCCCUAAACGAUGAAUGCUAGUCGUCGGGAAGCUCGUCUUUUCGGUGACGCACUUAACAGAUUAAGCAUUCCGCCUGGGGAGUACGGUCGCAAGAUUAAAACUCAAAGGAAUAGACGGGGACCCGCACAAGUGGUGGAGCAUGUGGUUUAAUUCGAAGAUACACGAAGAACCUUACCUGGCCUUGACAUCCCAAGAACUUUCCAGAGAUGGAUUGGUGCUAGCUUGCUAGAACUUGGUGACAGGUGCUGCACGGCUGUCGUCAGCUCGUGUCGUGAGAUGUUGGGUUAAGUCCCGCAACGAGCGCAACCCUGUCCUU